ACUUGACUGAGUGGAUACAUCUCCACGUGUGGAGGUGCUGGCUCCACCACUAUCACUAGCAGGCCUACUGGACUGAGUGGGUACUGGCUCCACCACUAUCACUAGCAGGUCUACUGGACUGACUGGACACAUCUCCACCACUAUCACUAGCAGGUCUACUGGACUGAGUGGAUACAUCUCCACCACUAUCACUAGCAGGUCUACUGGACUGAGUGGAUACAUCUCCACCACUAUCACUAGCAGGUCUACUGGACUGAGUGGAUACAUCCCCACCACUAUCACUAGCAGGUCUACUGGACUGAGUGGAUACAUCUCCACCACUAACACUAGCAGGUCUACUGGACUGAGUGGAUACAUCUCCACCACUAUCACUAGCAGGUCUACUGGACUGAGUGGAUACAUAUCCACCACUAUCACUAGCAGGCCUACUGGACUGAGUGGAUACAUCUCCAUGUGUGGAGGUACUGGCUCCACCACUAUCACUAGCAGGUCUACUGGACUGAGUGGAUACAUCUCCACCACUAUCACUAGCAGGCCUACUGGACUGAGUGGAUACAUCUCCACGUGUGGAGGUGCUGGCUCCACCACUAUCACUAGCAUGUCUACUUGACUGAGUGGAUACAUCUCCACGUGUGGAGGUGCUGUCUCCACCACUAUCACUAGCAGGCCUACUGGACUGAGUGGGUACUGGCUCCACCACUAUCACUAGCAGGUCUACUGGACUGACUGGACACAUCUCCACCACUAUCACUAGCAGGUCUACUGGACUGAGUGGAUACAUCCCCACCACUAUCACUAGCAGGUCUACUGGACUGAGUGGUUACAUCCCCA
This 831-nucleotide long non-coding RNA is filed under the name Salmo salar (Atlantic salmon). Its description in RNAcentral is "lncRNA (ENSSSAG00000101322.1)". The record is from RNAcentral. Lineage: Eukaryota; Metazoa; Chordata; Actinopteri; Salmoniformes; Salmonidae.